Molecule: ribosomal RNA, 497 nt
Filed under: uncultured bacterium
Lineage: Bacteria
Description: partial 16S ribosomal RNA
Rfam family: Bacterial small subunit ribosomal RNA
Source: RNAcentral
GAUGAACGCUGGCGGCGUGCCUAAUACAUGCAAGUCGAGCGAACGGACGAGAAGCUUGCUUCUCUGAUGUUAGCGGCGGACGGGUGAGUAACACGUGGAUCACCUACCUAUAAGUCUGGGAUAACUUCGGGAAACCGUAGCUAAUACCGGAUCAUAUUUUGAACCGCAUGGUUCAAAAGUGAAUGACGGUCUUGCUGUCACUUAUAGAUGGAUCCGCGCUGCAUUAGCUAGUUGGUAAGGUAACGGCUUACCAAGGCAACGAUGCAUAGCCGACCUGAGAGGGUGAUCGGCCACACUGGAACUGAGACACGGUCCAGACUCCUACGGGAGGCAGCAGUAGGGAAUCUUCCGCAAUGGGCGAAAGCCUGACGGAGCAACGCCGCGUGAGUGAUGAAGGUCUUCGGAUCGUAAAACUCUGUUAUUAGUGAAGAACAUAUGUGUAAGUAACUGUGCACAUCUUGACGGUACCUAAUCAGAAAGCCACGGCUAACUACGUG